GAUGAACGCUGGCGGCGUGCCUAAUACAUGCAAGUCGAGCGAACAGGCGAGGAGCUUGCUCCUCUGACGUUAGCGGCGGACGGGUGAGUAACACGUGGAUAACCUACCUAUAAGACUGGGAUAACUUCGGGCAACCGGAGCUCAUACCGGAUAAUAUAUUGAACCGCAUGGUUCAAUAGUGAAAGGCGGUUUUGCUGUCACUUAUAGAUGGAUCCGCGCCGCAUUAGCUAGUUGUUAAGGUAACGGCUUACCAAGGCAACGAUGCGUAGCCGACCUGAGAGGGUGAUCGGCCACACUGGAACUGAGACACGGUCCAGACUCCUACGGGAGGCAGCAGUAGGGAAUCUUCCGCAAUGGGCGAAAGCCUGACGGAGCAACGCCGCGUGAGUGAUGAAGGUCUUCGGAUCGUAAAACUCUGUUAUUAGGGAAGAACAAAUGUGUAAGUAACUAUGCACGUCUUGACGGUACCUAAUCAGAAAGCCACGGCUAACUACGUG
RNAcentral lists this ribosomal RNA (497 nucleotides) under uncultured bacterium. Its description in RNAcentral is "partial 16S ribosomal RNA". It matches the Rfam family "Bacterial small subunit ribosomal RNA", at positions 28 to 507 of the family's 1533-position model. The record is from RNAcentral.